UCUUUGUCCACACAGCCAGCAGUGACUUACGUAGGCCUCUCUGAAGUCUUGCAAGAUUUGCCCUUGGGCUGCCUGUCAUGGAGCAAGGAGAGGGUGUAGCCUCAAGUGAACAACUUUUAUCCUGGAGAUUUUCAUGAUAUAAAAGGAAAAUCAAAGGAUGAUUAAUAAUUUUGAAUCAAGCCACACUUAAUUUUAUUAAAUGUUUCAGCCUUUUCCUAUAUACACCAAACCAAUUACAGACUCAAAACAAAUGAAUUGCACAUUUCACUGGCGUAAUCUUUGGCAGAGGAAUUACCAGUGACAGAGAAUGUCAGGAGAUGAACGGAAUGGUCUCACUGCUUUUUUUCUGCCUAAAAAAAAAAAAAAAAAAUCUACCAGUGAUGAUUUGCGCUGAGUAAAUCUGCCCACACUCUUGUCUGCUUUGUGGUUAAAAUUUGUAAAUGUAUACGCAGCGCUUUAUAGUUUUUAACGAAGCUUGGGCUUUCCUACAUUGGAACUAGCCACGUGAAGCUAUUUCAGUCUAGGUUACCGUAAGUCAAGCAAAGGAACGCUUCAGUUUCUCAGUUACACUAGUCGAUUUUCAAACGCUCAGCUGCUCUUUGUAGCUAGUGGCCCCGUAUCAGGCCAUGCAGCUUUAAACAGUCUCCACUGUUGACUUUCCUGCUUUUGAUCCCAAGCAGCCACCCAGCCCCACAGAGCUGUGCACUGUGAGAUGCUAUUCCUUUGGGUUUGCUUUGAAAAGGACAGGAGGCUAUAUGCGUAUGAUGUGUUACAGGAACCAAGUGCUCCUGAAAGAUGCUUCCCAAUUGCAAAGAUGUAAGAUCUCGGCCCCGGUGGAGCACGGCACCCACAGAUGUCUGUAUGUGCUUUCCUGGUGUGACACAUCAGUCAAGGAUGCAAUUUUAGAGUUAAGAUAGAUCCUAGUCAAAAGUUUGAUCACUUUGACCUUAUCUUUUUGUCAGAUUUUGAAAAAAAAAAUCAGUGGAGGUACUGGGGUUUAGGUUAUAAAAUGCUUGGCAUGCAAAUACAAGGACCUGAGUUCUGUCAUCAGUACCCAUGUGAAAAGCUGGGCAUGGUGGCACACACUAAUAUCUUGGUGGUGCAGAGGCAAAGACCAAAGCCUCCUUGGAGCCCAUGGGCCAACCAGCCUCAUAUAAUCAGUGAGCCUUGGGUACAGUGACAGGCUCUCUCAAAGAAAACAGAUGGCUCUAGGAAUGGCACCACAUGUACAAGCAUAUACACAGCCCUCCCCCCACUCCAAAAAUGUAAACGAGAUGUUGGUAAUGGCAGUUCCCUCUGUGUGAGAUAGGAUGUGCUCUAGAAACAAGCACCUACACCCUAAACUCCUGUGGCCAGCUGUCCCCAAAGAAAUUGUAACUUCCCAAGAUAACGUUCUAAGCAUCCUUCCUACUCGUUUCUGUUUUUAAUGUAUUCCUAAACCUGUAUUCAAAGCUUUAACUACAAUCAGAUCGUUUGCUCUCCCUCUUCCAGUAAGGAUUGAGGAAUGAGCAAGACCGCAUUCACUCAUGCUAAAGGUGUACUCUGCCACUGAUAGUUAUCCUCAAACAUAGUGGCCAGGGACAUGGCUCACUGGUUGGGAGCACUUAGUCUUUGAGAGGACUCCAAAUUUGGUUCCCAGCACCCAUACCCAUGCUGGAUAAUUCAUGACUGACUGUAACUCCAGUUACAGUUAAAAACAACAACAAACAAACACACCUGUAGCUGUUUUUAGUUUGUUGUUUGUUUGUUUAAAGACAGUGUCUCUCACUAAGUUAACCAGGCUGGUCAGCUUGCUCUGUAGCACUGGAAGAUCUUGAAUUUAAAAUCUGUAUCAGUCCCCCAACUGAUAUAGUUUGUGAACCUAUAAUGCCAGAUGUGGCUUCUUUUACUCAUG
Molecule: long non-coding RNA, 1894 nt
Filed under: Mus musculus (house mouse)
Lineage: Eukaryota; Metazoa; Chordata; Mammalia; Rodentia; Muridae
Description: long non-coding RNA chr18:53556526-53558420
Source: RNAcentral